RNAcentral lists this long non-coding RNA (330 nucleotides) under Homo sapiens (human). RNAcentral's name for it is "non-protein coding lnc-ARNTL-3:1". Lineage: Eukaryota; Metazoa; Chordata; Mammalia; Primates; Hominidae. The record is from RNAcentral.
GGUACUGGGUCAGUUUCUCUGUUUUAGGUUUGGAUUCCCUGCAUACAGACACUUUAGAAGUGAUGGCACCUCUCCCAACAUCCCCAUGCCCCACUUCUGUCUUACCUGGAGUACCUAAGCUUGUUUUUCCUACAGUCAAUGGACAGGCAAAGUUUGAAACCAAAGUUACUAUGUUGGAUAAUGGGCUUUGUGUGGCAUCUUAAAAUAAGUUUGGAAGCUUUUAUAUGGCAGGAAUUCUUAUUAAUUCAGGAUCAAGAUACAAAGCAAAAUAUCAUGGUGAAAUUGCGCACUCUUUGGAAAGUUGGCAUUUUCAGUCAGUUGUCUAAUUUG